This 1250-nucleotide long non-coding RNA is filed under the name Papio anubis (olive baboon). Its description in RNAcentral is "lncRNA (ENSPANG00000038346.1)". Lineage: Eukaryota; Metazoa; Chordata; Mammalia; Primates; Cercopithecidae. The record is from RNAcentral.
GACUACAGGCCGCCACCACCGCCAAUUUUUGUAUUUUAGUAGAGACGUGUCACCUGUGUUAGCCAGGAUGGUCUCGAUCUCCUGACCUCGCGGAUCCAACCUCGCCUUGGCCUCCCAAAGUGCUGGGAUUACAGGCUUGAGCCACCGCCACCGGCCAGAAUGGAUAUUAUUUCUUACCUAAAUGUUUGGUUGUGAUCCAUCAGGGAAGCCGCAGGGCCAGGAAUUGUCUUCGUGGAGAUGGUUUUAGUUAUAAAUAUAAUUUCUUUUUUUUUUUUUUUUGAGACGGAGUCUUGCUCUGUCACCCAGGCUGAGUGCUGUGGCCGGAUCUCAGCUCACUGCAAGCUCCUCAGCCCCCGGGUUCCCGCCCAUUCUCCUGCCUCAGCUCCUCCGAGUAGCUGGGACUACAGGCUCUCGGCCACUCCUCGGCCUGCUGUUUUUUUGUAUUUUUUAGUAGAGACGGGUUUCACUGUUCGCCAGGGAUACCCCUGGACCUCCUGACUCAGGUGGAUCCGCCUGCCUCGCCUCCCAGUGUUGCUGGGAUUUAUAGGCUUGAGCCACCGCUGCCUGGCCUUCUUUUUUUUUUUUUUUUGAGACGGAGUCUCAUGGUCGCCCAGGCUGGAGUGCAGUGGCCUCUGGAUCUCAGCUCACUGCAAGCUCCUCGGGCCUCUGGCUUUACGCCAUUCUCCUGCCUCAGCCUCCCAAGCACCUGGGACUACAGGCUCCGGCCCACCACUCGGCUAGGUUUUUUUCCUAUUUUUGGUAGAGAGGGGUUUCACCAUGUUAGCCAGAUGGUCUCAUCUCCUGACCUCGCGGAUCCCACUCGCCUCGGCCUCCCAAAGUGCUGGGAUUACAGGCUUGAGCCACCGCGCCCGGCCUAUAAAUAGAAUUUCUUUACUAGAUCUACAGCCAUUCUGGUAAUGAGCACUUUUUCUGCCAGAUCUGACAUGGGUGUCUUUCAAGGAAUUUUUCUAUGUCAUCUAAGUUGGAAAAUUUGUGAUCAUAAAGCUGUUAAUAAACCUGAUACGUUCACCCUCUCAGUGUCUGUGGGAGGUGAGAUGGCGCCUCCUCUCGUCCCUGACACGUUCACUGUCUCAGUGUCUGUGGGAGGUGAGAUGGCGCCUCCUCUCGUCCCUGACACGUUCACUGUCUCGGUGUCUGGGGGAGGUGAGAUGGCUCCUCCUGUCGUUCCUGACACGUUCACUCUCUCGGUGUCUGUGGGAGGUGAAAUGGCUCCUCCUCUCGUUCCUUAA